RNAcentral lists this ribosomal RNA (513 nucleotides) under uncultured Hanseniaspora. RNAcentral's name for it is "eukaryotic LSU rRNA". It matches the Rfam family "Eukaryotic large subunit ribosomal RNA", at positions 63 to 576 of the family's 3401-position model. Lineage: Eukaryota; Fungi; Ascomycota; Saccharomycetes; Saccharomycodales; Saccharomycodaceae. The record is from RNAcentral.
AACCAACUGGGAUUACCUUAGUAACGGCGAGUGAAGCGGUAAAAGCUCAAAUUUGAAAUCUGGUACUUUCAGUGCCCGAGUUGUAAUUUGUAGAAUUUGUCUUUGAUUAGGUCCUUGUCUAUGUUCCUUGGAACAGGACGUCAUAGAGGGUGAGAAUCCCGUUUGGCGAGGAUACCUUUUUCUGUAAGACUUUUUCGAAGAGUCGAGUUGUUUGGGAAUGCAGCUCAAAGUGGGUGGUAAAUUCCAUCUAAAGCUAAAUAUUGGCGAGAGACCGAUAGCGAACAAGUACAGUGAUGGAAAGAUGAAAAGAACUUUGAAAAGAGAGUGAAAAAGUACGUGAAAUUGUUGAAAGGGAAGGGCAUUUGAUCAGACAUGGUGUUUUUUGCAUGCACUCGCCUCUCGUGGGCUUGGGCCUCUCAAAAAUUUCACUGGGCCAACAUCAAUUCUGGCAGUAGGAUAAAUCAUUAAGAAUGUAGCUACCUCGGUAGUGUUAUAGCUUAUUGGAAUACUGCU